Molecule: long non-coding RNA, 2648 nt
Organism: Ananas comosus (pineapple)
Lineage: Eukaryota; Viridiplantae; Streptophyta; Magnoliopsida; Poales; Bromeliaceae
Exons: 2
Source: RefSeq, a predicted model, not a curated record
UAUUUCAAUUUUUGUUGCUUCAUAUUUUGAUUAUAUAUAUCUCCCAACUAAGUUAAGUUCUCAAUUCAACUACUUUGCUUUGCAUUCUCAUCUAACUAAUUAGAAGAGGGAUAUUCUAAUCAUGACCAGCUUAUCCGAAUGUAACGAGAGGGCGUAAUUAAUCGGAUACAUGUAGGUAUCUGGGAAGCAUGAAUCCUUUAAUCUUUGAUUCUUUUAAGCAUUAAUAAAUAGCUUGCUUUUUUUAAUUUACUUACUUAUAUUUCAUUUUAUUUUAUUUUAUUUUCGUUUUAUCCCUUAUUCAUUUUUCGGAAAAACAGGUGCAUAAUAGAAUAGUCUUCUAGGUAGAAGAUGAUAGAGAAAUGAGAAAGAUUGAAAAAGAGGGUUUAUAUUGAAAUUACUAUAGGUAGAAGAUAAAUCGGAUAUAAUUAUUCUCUUAAUUAGUAAAUUUUAUUUCGUUCGUAUUUUUCAUAAUUUUUUUUUUCUCUUCGUGUUGUAUCAGUUUUUGCCGAGGUGAUGGAUUUACAAUAAAAACCUGAUUUGAUGCUUUCGUUGUAGAAUCCUAACAAUCGGUACCAAAGCGAGUACCGGAUUUAUAACAGUCGAUAUCAGAGCCCAAAAUCAAGUAUCAGAACGAGUACUGAAUUCCCAACAUAUAGACGACCAAUUAUAGGAAAAGAAUAAACAAAUUAAUAGAACAGGAGGGCAUUGUGUAGCCUUAUUGUAAGAUUUUUGUUUUGUUAAAUAAAAUUUCUACAUAAAUUAGUGUAGGAAUGAAUGUAGAUUGCUUACAAUCCUCAUAUCCAAGAUGUUUGUUUGAUAACAAAAAUAAAAAUAAACACUUACAAAUAAUUUUUUUAUUUUUUUCAGGAUAAUCUUCAAUUUGACCAGUGUGAUCUAGCGCAAUUUUCUUUUACCAAGCUGUAAAUUCAAAAAACUACAUUUAAUUAUCUUGUGAUUUUAUUUUUAUUUUGCCAUAAAGAACUAUUGUUAAAAAGAGUAGAAAAGUGAUACUUUAUGCAAAUCAUAGAGUGAUAAAAUACAGAUUAGAAAAUAAUAAAAUAUGCCACAUAGUUUGCAAAAUUAAUUACCAUCACUUUAUUAUCCGGCGUGUUUACCAACAGUUCAUUAUGGUGAAACAAAAAUAGAAAACUACAAGUUAGUACCUUGCUGCUUCAAUCUGAAGCUUUGAAGCUGAAACAAAAACAAACUGCAUUAAUAUCUGUUGGAACACUUUAUUAGUAAAAUUAAUUUUUAGUCAUCGACCACUAUUUGUCUCAAGGAGUUACAUCCUUUCAUAUUCUAUACAUUCCUGGUGACCUUCUAUAACCUAUACCAUUUCAAUUUCCAAAUCUCAUAAUUUAUGUAUUUUCAUUCCUAUAACUCUUAACCUUUCAAUUAGCUUUUAAUUGUUGACAACUUACUUCUUGUAACUCCAAAAAAUAGUAUUCUUCAAGAGUUGUACUGGAUAUUGCUUUUUUUUGAGAAAGAGGUAGCAAGCUACCUGCUUCAUUCAUUAAGCGAAAUGAAUUUAGCGUACAUAAUGGAGACAGCUAAGGCCCCCUACCGAAACCGGAAAACAACAAAAUAAUAAAUGCAGUAUAGAUAAGUAAACAACAACAAAAGAACUAUAAAAGCAGUAUAGAUAAGUAAACGAAAGCUCGACUCGAGAUAUUAAAGAACGGUUACGGGACAAUUGCCUCGGUCCAAGUCUUCGUUAGCGCAACUAUCCGCCCAAUUGCACGGUUAGCGUCCGGAGUGUCCUCAUUGAAGACGAUCUUGUUGCGCUCCGUCCAAACUACCCACCAGAUUGCUGCCAACCGUUGUACUGGAUAUUGCUGUGUCUUUCCCUCAACCAUCGGCCUAUUUCUAUAGCCCAAUUAUUGAAUGAUUGGUGUGUAAAAUUAUUAUUGACUGAUUCAAAUCAAAUAUAUUGCUGUAUCUUUGUAGUAUCCUAGGUAGAAUAGGGAGUUGGUAAAAGGGCCUUUUGGUCUUUUGCCAAUUUUUAUCAAUUCUACCGCCUUAAUUAGAGGUGGCAGGCAGUGGAGGAGCUUUGGAGGGUUGCUAAUUUUUUUUUUUUUUCUUUCUUUUCUCUUUCUCUAGACUUUGAACGUGAGUUGGGUGAAGACUUCGGUUGGGGUUGGGAUCGACGUCGACUUCGCGCCAGCGAGCCGUUUGAGCCUACGUGCGUCGUGGUAAGCGCCGUUGGAGGCCGGGCGAGCGCGGGAUUUCUUCUCCUAUCGACUUCUCGCCGUUGUUGGAUUAGCGUUCGAGGGUGGUACCCACUGAGAACUACUUUUUUUGUAGUAGUUCUCACGCCCAGUUGUUACCGUUUGUUUUGUAAAGCCGUCGUCUGCGGCUGCUGCUGCUGCUGCUGAUCUUGAUCGUGGUAAGUGCGUCGCGAGUUAGAGCCCUACCAGACGAGCCAGAGCUAGUGGAGUACCAGUUACAGGUUGUUGUAGUUUUUCAGUUCGUAUACAUACUAUUGCUGUACCUCGCUGGGCGAGCUGUUUGUAUACCUGGAUGUUUGUAUGUAAAGUGAACUUCAGUUUUAUAUAUCUCAUUUUUUUUAGCAGCUCUAUACUACUAGUUGUAGUAUUGUAUGAUUAUAGGAACAGCUAUCGCUUCAUAUAUAGGAAAAUUUUUUUGUA